Prosopis cineraria is the source of this 806-nucleotide long non-coding RNA. RefSeq lists it as uncharacterized. The transcript is spliced from 2 exons. The record is from RefSeq and is a predicted model, not a curated record. NCBI's taxonomy places the organism in Eukaryota, Viridiplantae, Streptophyta, Magnoliopsida, Fabales, Fabaceae.
UAAUUUUGCUACGCUCCACAAUGAAACCCUCGAUCGCUUCACUCUGCAUGGUCCAGCCUCUUGCUCUCGCUUUGCCUCUCUCACCGUGCGUCGUCUGAGCGUCCUCAUUCCGCCGCUGUGUUUCCGUCAGGCAUUUUCCGGGUAAAUCUAAAAUAGCACUGCAGAGAACUAUUCCUUUCCCAAACUAUGAGAAGAUGAUAUUAUAUGGAAUAGAUAGAGCCUAUGGAAAUGAGGCGGAGACAACACGUGAGUGGAGAAAGAGACGUCGUUCUAUAGAAGAGGUCCCUAAAACUGUCAAUGAUAUUGAUAACCUCAUCUCACAAAACAAAGUUAAAAUUCCUAAACAAGAGCACUCAUCCACCACUAUUAAUGGUGCUUGCAUCAAGAGGAUAAAGAAGGUGGCUAAAGAGAAGGAUAAUAAUAUUAAGGAGCUAAUAGGGGCAAUACGUGCUGUGACUCAGGCAAUUGAACAAGGAAAUAUGAUACUAGCAAAAAUUUGCAAGCCUGUGCCACAAUUGUCAAGUGAAGAGCUUUGGAAAAUGCUUGAAGAAUGUGGGUGUGAUGCUAAAAGAAUACCUGACAUAUAUUGCUUUCUUAUGUGUGAUGUUGAUAGGUUAAGGGCAGCAAUUCAAUGUCCAAUUUCAGCACGAAAGCAAGUAAUAAUGAUGAUGUUCUCUGGUUCUAAUUAGAUGGUCCUUCAAUAAUUCAUGAUGACAUUAGUUAUAUGGUUUGUUACUCGCCCAAAAUGCGGCUCCUAAGCAUUGAAUGAUGAGUUUUGUUGAAUGUACUAAAUAUGACUUGCUAUA